AGCGAACGCUGGCGGCAGGCUUAACACAUGCAAGUCGAGCGGGCCCUUCGGGGUCAGCGGCAGACGGGUGAGUAACACGUGGGAACGUACCCUUUGGUUCGGAAUAACGCUGGGAAACUAGUGCUAAUACCGGAUACGCCCUUUUGGGGAAAGGCUUGCUGCCGAAGGAUCGGCCCGCGUCUGAUUAGCUAGUUGGUGGGGUAAUGGCCUACCAAGGCGACGAUCAGUAGCUGGUCUGAGAGGAUGAUCAGCCACAUUGGGACUGAGACACGGCCCAGACUCCUACGGGAGGCAGCAGUGGGGAAUAUUGGACAAUGGGCGCAAGCCUGAUCCAGCCAUGCCGCGUGAGUGAUGAAGGCCUUAGGGUUGUAAAGCUCUUUUGUCCGGGACGAUAAUGACGGUACCGGAAGAAUAAGCCCCGGCUAACUUCGUG
This 433-nucleotide ribosomal RNA is filed under the name uncultured bacterium. Its description in RNAcentral is "partial 16S ribosomal RNA". It matches the Rfam family "Bacterial small subunit ribosomal RNA", at positions 29 to 507 of the family's 1533-position model. The record is from RNAcentral.